AAUUCGCGUGGAUAUGACAAGAAUUAGAAUUCUAAAAUCUACUGGGCGGGGAUACGGAUGGGCCUCCUAUCCCACCCUGCCCCUUCGUAAUUCCUAUCCCUAACUCUUUUCUUCUGCACGUAGGUUCUUAAUCUUUAUAUUAUGUUUCAAUUUAUUCCCAACAACUCAAAUUGGGAAUUUUCGCCAACUAGCCCUCUCGAAAUUUGUAACUGCAAGUUUAGGCUUGUUAAAAUUUUAUUUCCAAAUCUAGACUUAGUUGAGAAGAGUGGGUGAGAUGUCAAAUAAAAAGAUGGUAAACUGUUCACCGCUUAUCGAAAAUGGUAAAUGGUUCACCACUUCCAUUUUAGAUUAUAGUACUCUCAUGAAUGAGACGAAUGGUUCUAUAAGUGGUGAAUCAUUCACUACCUUCUUUUAAACCAUUUAUUCUCCUCAAGCUCUCUCCCUUUCUAAGUCCUAGAGUGAGGAGAAAACUUAUAAGCACUGAAUGGUUCACCGCAUAUAAAGAUAAUAAAUAAUUCAACACUUUCAUGAAGUGAUAAACUAUUCACCGCGUUCUCUCCUGGAUUUUGCUGCUUCCAUUUCCUUUUUUUUCCCAAUACCCAGUAAGCAUAUAAUUGUAGUAUUUUUUCAAGCAUUACUACUGCAAUAAUACACACUUAAAUUGAACUAAAUCAACUUUAAUUGCUCAUAAGCACAAGAAAAAAUAAUAUAACAAAAAAGAAUAUUAACAUAAAUAUUUAAAUAUGCAUCAAAAAUUAAUGGAAAAAAAAAUCC
Molecule: long non-coding RNA, 774 nt
Filed under: Ananas comosus (pineapple)
Lineage: Eukaryota; Viridiplantae; Streptophyta; Magnoliopsida; Poales; Bromeliaceae
Description: long non-coding RNA (ACOM_LNC003072)
Source: RNAcentral